CGCGGUAACGCGACCAACCUCGGAGACGUCGGCGAGAGUUCUGGGAAGAGUUCUCUUUUCUUUAUUAGAAGUGCAUCCACUCCCUCGAAUCGGCCUGUCCGGAGAUAGAAGGCUAGCCUCCGUAAAACACCACCCUUCUCGUGCUAUCCGGAACGCUCUUGUCGACCCUUGAAAAUCCGAGCGAGAUAGUAU
RNAcentral lists this non-coding RNA (192 nucleotides) under Schistosoma mansoni. RNAcentral describes it as "Eukaryotic large subunit ribosomal RNA". It matches the Rfam family "Eukaryotic large subunit ribosomal RNA", at positions 1640 to 1828 of the family's 3401-position model. Lineage: Eukaryota; Metazoa; Platyhelminthes; Trematoda; Strigeidida; Schistosomatidae. The record is from Rfam by way of RNAcentral.